RNAcentral lists this ribosomal RNA (253 nucleotides) under uncultured bacterium. RNAcentral describes it as "partial 16S ribosomal RNA". It matches the Rfam family "Bacterial small subunit ribosomal RNA", at positions 524 to 776 of the family's 1533-position model. The record is from RNAcentral.
UACAGAGGGGGCAAGCGUUGUUCGGAAUUACUGGGCGUAAAGGGCGCGUAGGCGGCUUGCUAAGUCAGACGUGAAAUCCCCGGGCUCAACCUGGGAACUGCAUUUGUGACUGCAUCGCUGGAGUACGGCAGAGGGGGAUGGAAUUCCGCGUGUAGCAGUGAAAUGCGUAGAUAUCGGAAGGAACAUCAGUGGCGAAAGCGACUUCCUGGACCAAUACUGACGCUCAUGUGCGAAAGCGUGGGGAGCAAACAGG